This 456-nucleotide ribosomal RNA is filed under the name uncultured bacterium. Its description in RNAcentral is "bacterial SSU rRNA". It matches the Rfam family "Bacterial small subunit ribosomal RNA", at positions 28 to 507 of the family's 1533-position model. RNAcentral also lists the same sequence under 1 other name. The record is from RNAcentral.
GAUGAACGCUGGCGGCGUGCCUAACACAUGCAAGUCGAACGAACCUAAUCUUCGGAAAGGGUUAGUGGCGCACGGGUGAGUAACACGUAGGUGACCUGCCCCGAAGUGGGGGAUAACUUCUCGAAAGAGAAGCUAAUACCGCAUAUGCUCAGCCAUUCAGUUGGUUGAGUAAAGCUCCGGCGCUUCGGGAGGGGCCUGCGUCCGAUUAGCUAGUUGGUGGGGUAAUGGCCUACCAAGGCAAUGAUCGGUAGCUGGUCUGAGAGGACGAUCAGCCACACUGGCACUGACACACGGGCCAGACUCCUACGGGAGGCAGCAGUGAGGAAUAUUGGUCAAUGGGCGAAAGCCUGAACCAGCAACGCCGCGUGAGGGAUGAAGGCCUUCGGGUCGUAAACCUCUUUUCUGGGAGAAGAGACAAGGACGGUAUCCCAGGAAUAAGUCUCGGCUAACUACGUG